GCAUGAGUCUUCGCCUUUCCCCCACCAUAGGCUUGAUUUUGGCUUUCUAUUAACCCACUGCUUUCCACACUGGUGUCCAGCCCUACAGGGAUGAAGGGGACCCAGCCCUGAGAAUGGAGAGGGGUGGCCAGCGUGCAUUCGUGCUAAUCAGUAGAGAAGGAAAGUUCUGCCUUUUGGGGGGCUUGAAUCUGCACCAUCUGCAUAAGGUUUUGUACUGAGGAAAAUGCCCAAUUACGCUCAUUCACUUGCCCUUGAACCUAGUCCUGCCGACAACUACAAAUAAUGGCAUCAUAUUCUGCUAAAUGCUCUAGGAAUGUAACCCCUGAAAAUUUCUGGGUCCACUGUAUUAAGCUUGGAGUGAGGACUACAUUUCAGCCAGAUCAGAAAUGCAGAGGCUGGAGAGAGAAAUAUACAAAACCUUCUAAGGAAAAAAUGGUUGUCCAAAUAAAAAUAUAUGGGGUAUGUAAAGAUAAGUGACACAAAGCAUCUGAGGAGCGAGCAAGAGUGGAGAAGUGUGGGAGCUGAGGUCACGGAAGGAAAAAAAUCUACUG
Long non-coding RNA from Fukomys damarensis (Damara mole-rat), 551 nucleotides. RefSeq lists it as uncharacterized. Lineage: Eukaryota; Metazoa; Chordata; Mammalia; Rodentia; Bathyergidae. The record is from RefSeq and is a predicted model, not a curated record. The transcript is spliced from 4 exons.